GUGCCAGCCGCCGCGGUAAUACCGGCAGCUCAAGUGAUGUCCCAUAUUAUUGGGCCUAAAGCGUCCGUAGCUGGCCGACCAAGUCUCCCGGGAAAUCCACCCGCCCAACGGGUGGGCGUCCGGUAGAAACUGGCCGGCUUGGAACCGGAAGGCUCAGAGAGUACGUCCGGGGUAGGAGUGAAAUCCCGUAAUCCCGGACGGACUACCGAUGGCGAAAGCACUCUGGGAAGACGGACCCGACAGUGAGGGACGAAAGCUGGGAUCUCGAACCGGAUUAGAUACCCCAGUAGUCC
RNAcentral lists this ribosomal RNA (293 nucleotides) under uncultured bacterium. RNAcentral describes it as "partial 16S ribosomal RNA". It matches the Rfam family "Archaeal small subunit ribosomal RNA", at positions 455 to 747 of the family's 1478-position model. The record is from RNAcentral.